Molecule: long non-coding RNA, 689 nt
Filed under: Mytilus galloprovincialis (Mediterranean mussel)
Lineage: Eukaryota; Metazoa; Mollusca; Bivalvia; Mytilida; Mytilidae
Source: RNAcentral
GCCUGGAUUGAUUUGUUUCAGCAAUUUGAGGUAAAGGCGAACCAUAUUUUUGUGUAUUUAUAAUUUGAGUUGUUAAAUUAAAUUAACUUCACUUUUUGCUACAUUAUGGACAAACGUGCAGUUGUUUUUGGCCAUUCUUUCAUUCGUCGGUUAAAUGAUUUUGUUUUAUGCAAUAAACAUAAUGGCUGGUCAAAUUUGUCUCUUUAUGAAAGAGAUAUUUUAGUAAACUUAUUUGGUUUUGGUGGCGGCACUGUACGUCAAGGUCCAAAAUGUAUGUUUCAACCAUGCUUAUUAAAAGUUAUAGCUGAUGAUAAACCCGAUGUUGUAUUUUUGCAAGUUGGGGGUAAUGAUAUUAAGCAUGAUAGUGUUGACCCAAAGCUAUUAGCUCGAGAUAUAACUUCAUUUGCAGAGUUCAUCAUUGAUGGUUAUGAUGUAAAACAUGUUAUUGUCGGUCAACUUUUUCACCGUUUUAAUGCGAAUCGGCCAUAUAAUUACAACGAAAUUGUUAAUGAAGUAAAUACACAUGUAAAAUUGAUCAUAAAGAAUAUAGACAAAUUAUCGUUUUGGCAUCAUAGAGGCAUGUGGUCUGAUUCUGAAUCACUGAUAGCAAAUGACGGUGUGCAUUUAAAUAAAAAAGGCACUUUAAAGUUUGCAAAUAGUAUCAGAUCCGCCUUAGGCAUCUGUAUGAG